GUCUAUGUCCAUGCCAGCCUGAACAAGCCUGAUGUCUGAUCUUAAGCUAAGCAGGGUCAGGCCUAGUUAGUACUUGGAUGGGAAACCACCUAGGAAGACCAGGUGCUAUAGGCA
RNAcentral lists this ribosomal RNA (114 nucleotides) under Pteropus alecto (black flying fox). The record is from RNAcentral. Lineage: Eukaryota; Metazoa; Chordata; Mammalia; Chiroptera; Pteropodidae.